UGGGGAAUUUUGGACAAUGGGCGAAAGCCUGAUCCAGCAAUGCCGCGUGUGUGAAGAAGGCCUUCGGGUUGUAAGCACUUUUGCCCGGAAAGAAAUCCUUGGCUCUAAUACAGUCGGGGGAUGACGGUACCGGAAGAAUAAGCACCGGCUAACUACGUGCCAGCAGCCGCGGUAAUACGUAGGGUGCAAGCGUUAAUCGGAAUUACUGGGCGUAAAGCGUGCGCAGGCGGUUUGCUAAGACCGAUGUGAAAUCCCCGGGCUCAACCUGGGAACUGCAUUGGUGACUGGGCAGGCUAGAGUAUGGCAGAGGGGGGUAGAAUUCCACGUGUAGCAGUGAAAUGCGUAGAGAUGUGGAGGAAUACCGAUGGCGAAGGCAGCCCCCUGGGCCAAUACUGACGCUCAUGCACGAAAGCGUGGGGAGCAAACAGGAUUAGAUACCCUGGUAGUCCACGCCCUAAAACGAUGUCAACUAGUUGUUGGGGAUUCAUUUCCUUAGUAACGUAGCUAACGCGUGAAGUUGACCGCCUGGGGAGUACGGUCGCAAGAUUAAAACUUAAAUGAAUUGACGGGGUCAUAGCUGUUUCC
RNAcentral lists this ribosomal RNA (585 nucleotides) under uncultured bacterium. RNAcentral's name for it is "partial 16S ribosomal RNA". It matches the Rfam family "Bacterial small subunit ribosomal RNA", at positions 355 to 937 of the family's 1533-position model. The record is from RNAcentral.